UCUUCAGAUAUAGAUGUGAAUUUGCAAAAAUCAAAACCUUUGUCAGGUUCAAGUGAAAAAUCAAUGGAAGAUCAUUUUUCACGUGAAAAAUCAAAUAAAAUAGAUUUAAAUGAACAGAAAAUAUCUUUCUUUUCUCCUAAUAUGGUAAAUCUUGAUGCUGAAUGGAAGGAGAGAAAAAAAGUUUUCAGUGAUGAAGAAAUUAGGGAAAUAUCUCAUGGUUCUGGUAUAUCACUAAGUGAACAAAAAGAAAUUUCUGAUUUAAUUAGUGCUCAAAAAGAUGAACAAUUUAAAACUGAUAGUGAUAAAAGUCAAAUAAUAAAAGUUAGUUUUUUG
This 333-nucleotide long non-coding RNA is filed under the name Androctonus crassicauda. The record is from RNAcentral. Lineage: Eukaryota; Metazoa; Arthropoda; Arachnida; Scorpiones; Buthidae.